This 72-nucleotide transfer RNA is filed under the name Bos taurus (domestic cattle). It matches the Rfam family "tRNA". From Rfam's summary of the family: Transfer RNA (tRNA) molecules are approximately 80 nucleotides in length. Their secondary structure includes four short double-helical elements and three loops (D, anti-codon, and T loops). Further hydrogen bonds mediate the characteristic L-shaped molecular structure. tRNAs have two regions of fundamental functional importance: the anti-codon, which is responsible for specific mRNA codon recognition, and the 3' end, to which the tRNAs corresponding amino acid is attached (by aminoacyl-tRNA synthetases). tRNAs cope with the degeneracy of the genetic code in two manners: having more than one tRNA (with a specific anti-codon) for a particular amino acid; and 'wobble' base-pairing, i.e. permitting non-standard base-pairing at the 3rd anti-codon position. The record is from Rfam by way of RNAcentral. RNAcentral also lists the same sequence under 2 other names. Lineage: Eukaryota; Metazoa; Chordata; Mammalia; Artiodactyla; Bovidae.
CCUCUGGUGGUCCAGUGGCUUAGACUCUGUGUUCCCAAUGCAACGGCCCAGGUUCGAUCCCUGGUCAGGGAG